Brassica oleracea var. oleracea is the source of this 960-nucleotide long non-coding RNA. RefSeq lists it as uncharacterized. The record is from RefSeq and is a predicted model, not a curated record. The transcript has 3 exons. Lineage: Eukaryota; Viridiplantae; Streptophyta; Magnoliopsida; Brassicales; Brassicaceae.
GAAUUAUGACUGUAUAUCCGUCCCGGUGAAACGCAUUUCGCCUCUAACCCUAAUACGGCUGAAGCGAAGAAACAGAGUUAUUCUCUCUUCUGCGUGCGACGGUGAGUAGGUGACGUUUGCGAUUCAUCUCGCUAUCUGAGAUGUCUACACCAACAAUGGAGUUUGGGGAUGACGAUUGAGACAAAACGACGUGGAGAUAACGAUUCGUUUUUGGUUCUUAUCCUACAAGAUACCAGAUGUCCAGAUUCAUCGCGUUUAAGAAACUUAUUUAUUUCAUCGACGCACAUCAAGCAUGAUCUGACAUACAAUGCUGCUUAUUCCUCUUCUAGGUGGUGUUUUUCUCUUAUAUAAAGAUAAGUCUUUGUUACUUGAACAUCAUCCUCAUAGUUCUGGAUAAUCCCAAGUUAAUUGCAGUCUAAUGGCUAACACAUUUGUUUUCCUUGCUGAUCUGAACCUGGCCUCUGUUCUUUCAUCGUUGAGGUGCGACUUCUCAGGUUCUGGGAGGCACGUGAAAAACUGGGGCGAGUUGAUUGGGUUUGGGCAUGCUCCUCCUUGAUGUAAAGAGAAUCCAGUGCUGUUACCAACAGAAGAUCUUGGACAUCAGUGACAGAGACCACUUCUAGGAUUCUAGACUUCUGGCUUCAGUGGAAAGAAUACAAAGAGAUGAUGGAGUUGAUGGUGGAAUCUAUAAGGAAACAGUCCCUGGAGCUGCAUGAGAGAAAAAGAUUCUAAUUUAAAACAAUCUUUGGGAGGCCAAUUAGUUUUAAUGGCAAAAAAAAGUGAAAAGCAAAAGAGAGAACUUCAAGUUAGAAGGAACUUGAAGAAAGUGAUGCAGUGCUUGAACGGAAUGAAGAAGAAUUGGAUGAACAAUCAUAACAAGCUCAGAAUAGAAGCAAGUUUUUUUUUGUCUUUAUUGUUAGUUAUUAUCAGUAUCAAUAUCACUCACAUUGCAUGUUGAAA